Molecule: ribosomal RNA, 2061 nt
Filed under: Triticum aestivum (bread wheat)
Lineage: Eukaryota; Viridiplantae; Streptophyta; Magnoliopsida; Poales; Poaceae
Description: partial small subunit ribosomal RNA
Source: RNAcentral
AUGGGGGAGAGGGAGUGCUUGACCCAGCUGUUGGAGCGGCUGGACUGCAAGAUGGAGGAGAGCAAGACGUCAGGCCUGAGCAAUGUCUUUCAAGUUCCAUGCCCCACUGUGCGAAUUCGUUCAUCCAAAAUCUGCUUCAAGGCAACAACUGUCUAUGGCCCCACUGACCCGGCUAGCAAAGAUGCUUUCUUUGCGGAGAUCAUCAUCCACAAGCCGUUGCCGGAUAUGGCAUGGCUCGUCCUAGGGGACUUCAACCAGAUCUACCGAGCUAGAGACAAAAAUAAAAGGAAUGUGAAUCGUAGUAGGAUCAACCGCUUCCGAUCUGCGUUGCAAACCUACAAACUCAAGGAAAUCCACCUCCAGAAUCGGUGUUUUAGGUGGAGCAAUGAGCGGAAUAACCCAACGCUAUGCAAGCUCGACUCAUUCUUUUGCAAUGCGGAGUGGGACACCACUUUCAACACUCAUGUCCUCCAUGCCCUGUCAUCCUCCCUCUCCGACCACUGCCCCUUACUACUAGCUGAUGACAAGGGGCCGAGACGGCCUCGAUCCUUCUACAAGAAUAUGUUCUUGAAGGCCAAGAUCCACCUACAUGCAGCCCACAUGGUCAUCCUUCACCUGGACAUUGCUCAAGAGGAGCGUACUCUCUCUGUGGAGGAGCUAGACCUUCGCUCACGCCUCAAGCGGAGGGUGAUUAGCCUUGCAGUGUUGCAAAGGGCUAGGAAAAGGCAGUGUGCGAGGAUUGCUAAUCUGAGGGAAGGGGAUUCCAAUACAAAAAAAUUCCACCGCCGUGUCAAUCAUUCUAGCCGGACUCCACCCCGCUCCUCCUCCGUCGCCGUUCAACCCCUAUCCUCCGACCGCCCCGUCAAGUACCAUCUGAUAAAGAAACUCCGCGAGCACCACGCGUCCAAGCCAGGACUUGAACUCGGGUGGGCUGGCAGCAACCUCAACUGUCCAGCCAACGGGUCGACGCCCCGUCCUCUCAUGCAGCUAUUUAAACGUCUGCCUUUUAUUGCCGGUGCGCCGUCGCACCGGGUUACACUAGUGAUCGAUGGGCGGACCGCAACAGUGAAGCGGUCACGGAACAGUGAACGGAUCAACACUAGCCGGGAGUCGAAACCACAUGUGGAGGCGGAAAGCAACCAGGCGUGCAGGGCCAGCGUGAGGUCGCGCGAUGCACGGGCUGGUCUUCGAGAUGAAUCUAGCAGGAGAACGACAAGCCGCCUCAGGUUACGCACAAAGGACCAAGAAUUGGCAUUAUCUUCAAAAAAUCCGCUGUCACUGGAACGCUCAUGUGCGCACAUCCCAAAAGCUGCAACCGGAUUUGGCAAAUCCGACCCCUCAAACGCUCGCGGAUCAAUCUGUGUACAGCGCCGUCGCUUUCCUCUCUCGCUGUCGGCGUCGUCGCAACUUGCGGGCGACGUUCUCUGCCUGCAAGUCACCGCCGAUGAAAUCGCGCCGUCGACGGACGAGGCGGACUGCGUCUCCAUCGCGACGGUGUGGGUCGGGCUGGACGGCAUCUCCGACGAUAGAUCGGGACCAGAGGUGAGGAUUGAGAGUAAGGGUGGACGGCGCCAGCCUGGACUGCAGAAACGUAUGGUCUUGAUUAUCCUUGUGAAAAGAGAAACGUCUGGACAUGGAAAAGAAAUGAUGAUGCGGCGGAGAAAGCAGAACACCGAAAAUUCCAGUCCAAUCCAAUCCAACGAGGGGCGCUGCGUGACCACGUUCGUGCAUCCUUUUGACAGGUCCGAGGGGAAGAGUCCGAGUAGCCAUCGCCGAGCUUUCCCAAACACCGCGCGUGAUGUGAUGCAGACGUGGCAUCACCUGGCCAUGCGGAGGCCAUGCGCCCAUGCAGGCUUGUUCCGGUCCUCCGCCUGGUCUUGCCAGCACAUCUGCCAUGGACGAUGGAUGUCGGCUUUCUCGUCAUGGGCCAUGCAUGGCCACCACGUGACGAGAUACAGCCGUGCAACUGCGGGGCAGUACCCGAGACGGAAUAAACACGGUUUUGGGGAUUUCGACUAUCAGGAGCAUGGCCGUGUUUCUGGAUGGAGCACAGGCAUGUGA